Molecule: long non-coding RNA, 937 nt
Filed under: Ursus maritimus (polar bear)
Lineage: Eukaryota; Metazoa; Chordata; Mammalia; Carnivora; Ursidae
Description: lncRNA (ENSUMAG00000015448.1)
Source: RNAcentral
UAGUUAUCACAGCCUGUGAGCCCAAGCCACUUCUUCUUCCUUGUAGCUGUAUGAAAUUGUAGGAAAACAUUCCCAUGUGUAUGGAGCACAGGGGUUCAAGAAAAUGGACUUCCUUUACAAGUCGCUCGUGGCAAAUUCCUGCAGGAAAGUUAUGGCAAGGGGCAUUUACUUUAUCUGUUUAUUAGAAGACUACCUUGUGGGAUUUGAGGUACAAGUCCCAGAUCCAAGCAACAUGGAGAAAUUUGUUUGCCAAUAUACUAUGGAUGGCAAGAGGUUCCCCGGGUGACCCAUUAAGGCCCAAGGAACCGCCAAAGAAGACCACAACUCCCACGACGACCACACGGACGACCACGACGCCCACGACGACCACACGGACGCCCACGACGCCCACGAUGACCACACGGACGACCAUGACGACCACACGGACCACCACGACGCCCACGAUGACCACACGGACGACCACAAGGAUGACAAAAACAACCACACAGACAACCACAACAACCACACGGACAACCACAACGCCCACGACGACCACACGGACGACUACAACGCCCACGACGACCACACGGACGACUACAACAACCACGACACAGAUGACCACAGUGUCCACGGUUGUCACACAGGAGACAACUGAGACCACAGUUGUCAUACCAGAGACCACAGCGCACGUGGUUGUCACAGAAAAGCCUAUCCUUGACAACUCUUUCCUGUACCCAGUGCUCGUCCCAACCGUGCUCAUUAUCCCAGUGGUGAUCUGCUGCAUCUGUUGCUGCAUGAAUACCAACAACGAGCCACGACCACCAGAGAAAAUAGAAAUGGAGUCAGAGACCUGUAUACACACAUGCACCACAGUGAUUGUCCCUUGUUGUUCGUACCAGGAAGACAACAUGAGACGCCUAGAGGGCAAACUGGAUACCUUGUGUGACUUUGUUCAAAG